Non-coding RNA from Drosophila melanogaster (fruit fly), 99 nucleotides. NCBI's taxonomy places the organism in Eukaryota, Metazoa, Arthropoda, Insecta, Diptera, Drosophilidae. The record is from Ensembl.
AUAAUGCGCCGCCAUCUUGCGGCACACUCGCACACACACACGUGUGCCAUUCUGGUUUUGCAGUGGUGUGCGUGUGUGCCUCGAGUCGUUGCGUCACUG